This 72-nucleotide transfer RNA is filed under the name Ictidomys tridecemlineatus (thirteen-lined ground squirrel). RNAcentral describes it as "Spermophilus tridecemlineatus (thirteen-lined ground squirrel) tRNA". It matches the Rfam family "tRNA". Rfam says of the family: Transfer RNA (tRNA) molecules are approximately 80 nucleotides in length. Their secondary structure includes four short double-helical elements and three loops (D, anti-codon, and T loops). Further hydrogen bonds mediate the characteristic L-shaped molecular structure. tRNAs have two regions of fundamental functional importance: the anti-codon, which is responsible for specific mRNA codon recognition, and the 3' end, to which the tRNAs corresponding amino acid is attached (by aminoacyl-tRNA synthetases). tRNAs cope with the degeneracy of the genetic code in two manners: having more than one tRNA (with a specific anti-codon) for a particular amino acid; and 'wobble' base-pairing, i.e. permitting non-standard base-pairing at the 3rd anti-codon position. The record is from Rfam by way of RNAcentral. Lineage: Eukaryota; Metazoa; Chordata; Mammalia; Rodentia; Sciuridae.
ACGGAUAUAGUUCAGUGGUAGAGCAUUUGCCUACCAUGAAUAAAGCUCUGGGUUCAAUGCCCAGUACCAUUA